This 497-nucleotide ribosomal RNA is filed under the name uncultured bacterium. RNAcentral's name for it is "partial 16S ribosomal RNA". It matches the Rfam family "Bacterial small subunit ribosomal RNA", at positions 28 to 507 of the family's 1533-position model. The record is from RNAcentral.
GAUGAACGCUGGCGGCGUGCCUAAUACAUGCAAGUCGAGCGAACGGACGAGAAGCUUGCUUCUCCGAUGUUAGCGGCGGACGGGUGAGUAACACGUGGAUAACCUACCUAUAAGACUGGGAUAACUUCGGGAAACCGGAGCUAAUACCGGAUGAUAUUUUGAACCGCAUGGUUCAAAAGUGAAAGACGGUCUUGCUGUCACUUAUAGAUGGAUCCGCGCUGCAUUAGCUAGUUGGUAAGGUAACGGCUUACCAAGGCAACGAUGCAUAGCCGACCUGAGAGGGUGAUCGGCCACACUGGAACUGAGACACGGUCCAGACUCCUACGGGAGGCAGCAGUAGGGAAUCUUCCGCAAUGGGCGAAAGCCUGACGGAGCAACGCCGCGUGAGUGAUGAAGGUCUUCGGAUCGUAAAACUCUGAUAUUAGGGAAGAACAUAUGUGUAAGUAACUGUGCACAUCUUGACGGUACCUAAUCAGAAAGCCACGGCUAACUACGUG